AUUGAACGCUGGCGGCAGGCCUAACACAUGCAAGUCGAACGGUAACAGGAAGCAGCUUGCUGCUUUGCUGACGAGUGGCGGACGGGUGAGUAAUGUCUGGGAGACUGCCUGAUGGAGGGGGAUAACUACUGGAAACGGUAGCUAAUACCGCAUAACGUCGCAAGACCAAAGAGGGGGACCUUAGGGCCUCUUGCCAUCGGAUGUGCCCAGAUGGGAUUAGCUAGUAGGUGGGGUAACGGCUCACCUAGGCGACGAUCCCUAGCUGGUCUGAGAGGAUGACCAGCCACACUGGAACUGAGACACGGUCCAGACUCCUACGGGAGGCAGCAGUGGGGAAUAUUGCACAAUGGGCGCAAGCCUGAUGCAGCCAUGCCGCGUGUAUGAAGAAGGCCUUCGGGUUGUAAAGUACUUUCAGCGGGGAGGAAGGGAGUAAAGUUAAUACCUUUGCUCAUUGACGUUACCCGCAGAAGAAGCACCGGCUAACUCCGUG
RNAcentral lists this ribosomal RNA (490 nucleotides) under uncultured bacterium. Its description in RNAcentral is "partial 16S ribosomal RNA". It matches the Rfam family "Bacterial small subunit ribosomal RNA", at positions 30 to 507 of the family's 1533-position model. The record is from RNAcentral.